RNAcentral lists this ribosomal RNA (403 nucleotides) under Verrucomicrobiota bacterium. RNAcentral's name for it is "Verrucomicrobia bacterium partial 16S ribosomal RNA". It matches the Rfam family "Bacterial small subunit ribosomal RNA", at positions 355 to 776 of the family's 1533-position model. The record is from RNAcentral. Lineage: Bacteria; Pseudomonadati; Verrucomicrobiota.
UGGGGAAUAUUGCACAAUGGGGGAAACCCUGAUGCAGCGACGCCGCGUGAGCGAAGAAGGUUUUCGAAUCGUAAAGCUCUGUCCUAUGAGAAGAUAAUGACGGUAUCAUAGGAGGAAGCCCCGGCUAAAUACGUGCCAGCAGCCGCGGUAAUACGUAUGGGGCGAGCGUUGUCCGGAAUUAUUGGGCGUAAAGGGUACGUAGGCGGUCUAUUAAGUCAGGUGUGAAAGCGUGAGGCUUAACCUCUUUAAGCACUUGAAACUGAUAGACUUGAGUGAAGGAGAGGAAAGUGGAAUUCCUAGUGUAGCGGUGAAAUGCGUAGAUAUUAGGAGGAAUACCGGUGGCGAAGGCGACUUUCUGGACUUUUACUGACGCUCAGGUACGAAAGCGUGGGGAGCAAACAGG